GCAAACUUGGUCAUUUAGAGGAAGUAAAAGUCGUAACAAGGUUUCCGUAGGUGAACCUGCGGAAGGAUCAUUAUUGAUUUUAAAGGAUGUGCUGGCUCUUCUUCGGGGGAGCAAUUGUGCACUCCUUGAAACCGAUUUAUCCACCUGUGCACUCUCUGUAGACUGAGGGGAAUUCCAUUCCCCCUUGUCUAUGUCUCUUCACAAACUCUGUACAUUGAAUGUAUCUUGUGUGUAAUUUUGAUUACAAUGAUAUACAACUUUCAACAAUGGAUCUCUUGGUUCUCGCAUCGAUGAAGAACGCAGC
This 304-nucleotide unclassified non-coding RNA is filed under the name uncultured fungus. RNAcentral's name for it is "partial contains small subunit ribosomal RNA, internal transcribed spacer 1, and 5.8S ribosomal RNA". The stretch from base 1 to 73 matches the Rfam family "Eukaryotic small subunit ribosomal RNA", at positions 1759 to 1831 of the family's 1831-position model. Lineage: Eukaryota; Fungi. The record is from RNAcentral.